Molecule: ribosomal RNA, 468 nt
Filed under: uncultured bacterium
Lineage: Bacteria
Description: partial 16S ribosomal RNA
Rfam family: Bacterial small subunit ribosomal RNA
Source: RNAcentral
GAUGAACGCUGGCGGCGUGCUUAACACAUGCAAGUCGAACGGAAAGACCCUGCUCUUGUGGCGUUCUCGAGUGCCGAACGCGUGAGUAACACAUGAGUAACCUGCCCUUGACUUUGUGAUAACUUCAGGAAACUGGGGCUAAUACCCGAUAGGAUCUCCUGCUCCAUGUUGUUCGUUGGAAAGUUUCGGCUUUUCUGUCUGGACUCGCGGCUUAUCCGCUUCUUGGUGGGGUAGUGGCUUACCAAGGCUUUGACGGCUAGCCGGCCUGAGAGGGUUACCGGGCACAAUGGGACUGAGAGACGGACCAGACUCGUACGGGAGGCAGCAGUGGGGAGUAUGGCACAGUGAGCGGAAGCCUGAGGCAGCAACGUCGCGUGCGGGAUGACGGCCUUCGAGUUGUAAACCGCUUUCGAAUGUGACGAAGAGUGAGUGACGGUAAUGGGUAAAGAAGCACCGGCUAACUACGUG